RNAcentral lists this ribosomal RNA (1006 nucleotides) under uncultured Chloroflexota bacterium. RNAcentral's name for it is "bacterial SSU rRNA". It matches the Rfam family "Bacterial small subunit ribosomal RNA", at positions 110 to 1129 of the family's 1533-position model. Lineage: Bacteria; Bacillati; Chloroflexota. The record is from RNAcentral.
GUAACGCGUUGGUGACCUACCCCAAAGUGGGGGACAACAGUUCGAAAGAGCUGCUAAUACCCCAUAGUAUCGCGAGAGUUAAAGGUCUUGCGAUUAAAGGAUUUAUUCGCUUUGGGAGGGGCCUACGUCCCAUCAGCUAGUUGGUAAGGUAAUGGCUUACCAAGGCUAAGACGGGUAGGGGACCUGAGAGGGUGACCCCCCACACUGGUACUGAAACACGGACCAGACACCUACGGGUGGCAGCAGUAGGGAAUAUUGCGCAAUGGACGAAAGUCUGACGCAGCAACGCCGCGUGCACGAUGAAGGUCUUCGGAUUGUAAAGUGCUUUUAUGUGAGAAGAGAAAGGACGGUAUCACAUGAAUAAGGAUCGGCUAACUAAGUGCCAGCAGCCGCGGUAAUACUUAGGAUCCAAGCGUUAUCCGGAUUUACUGGGCGUAAAGCGCGUGCAGGUGGUUUGAUAAGUUGGAUGUGAAAACUCUCGGCUCAACCGAGAGCUGUCAUUCAAAACUAUCAAACUAGAGGACGGUAGAGGAAGGUGGAAUUCCAGGUGUAGUGGUGAAAUGCGUAGAUAUCUGGAGGAACACCGGUGGCGAAGGCGGCCUUCUGGCCCGCUCCUGACACUAAGACGCGAAAGCUAGGGUAGCGAACGGGAUUAGACACCCCGGUAGUCCUAGCCGUAAACGAUGUGAACUUGGUGUUGGUUGGGUAAAACCAAUCAGUGCCGAAGCUAACGCGAUAAGUUCACCGCCUGGGGACUACGGCCGCAAGGUUAAAACUCAAAGGAAUUGACGGGGGCCCGCACAAGCAGCGGAGCGUGUGGUUUAAUUCGAUGCUACGCGAAGAACCUUACCUGGGUUUGACAUAAUAGUGGUAGUGAAGCGAAAGCGGAACGACUCUUCGGAGAGCUAUUACAGGUGAUGCAUGGCUGUCGUCAGCUCGUGCCGUGAGGUGUCCGGUUAAGUCCGGUAACGAGCGCAACCCUUGCUGUAUGUUAUACGUGUCAUAC